UACGUAGGGGGCGAGCGUUGUCCGGAUUUAUUGGGUGUAAAGGGUGCGUAGACGGGAAGAUAAGUUAGUUGUGAAAUCCCCAGGCUUAACUUGGGAACUGCAACUAAAACUGUCUUUCUUGAGUGCUGGAGAGGAAAGCGGAAUUCCUAGUGUAGCGGUGAAAUGCGUAGGUGUUAGGAGGAACACCAGUGGCGAAGGCGGCUUUCUGGACAGUAACUGACGUUGAGGCACGAAAGUGUGGGGAGCAAAC
Molecule: ribosomal RNA, 250 nt
Filed under: uncultured prokaryote
Description: partial 16S ribosomal RNA
Rfam family: Bacterial small subunit ribosomal RNA
Source: RNAcentral